RNAcentral lists this ribosomal RNA (253 nucleotides) under uncultured bacterium. RNAcentral's name for it is "partial 16S ribosomal RNA". It matches the Rfam family "Bacterial small subunit ribosomal RNA", at positions 524 to 776 of the family's 1533-position model. The record is from RNAcentral.
UACGUAGGGAGCAAGCGUUGUCCGGAAUCAUUGGGCGUAAAGCGCGCGUAGGCGGCCCGAUAAGUCCGCUGUGAAAGUCAACGGCUCAACUGUUGGAUGCCGGUGGAUACUGUCGGGCUAGAGUACGGAAGAGGCAAGUGGAAUUCCUGGUGUAGCGGUGGAAUGCGCAGGUAUCAGGAGGAACACCUAUAGCGAAGGCAGCUUGCUGGGACGUUACUGACGCUAAGGCGCGAAAGCGUGGGGAGCGAACAGG